UCCCAAUGAUGAUUUUGAAAUCCAAUUCAGAUUAUUAUGACGAGAAUAUUAAAUAAUAUCGAGCUUUUUAACUCUGAGGGAA
This is a small nucleolar RNA of Cryptosporidium parvum Iowa II, 82 nucleotides long. NCBI's taxonomy places the organism in Eukaryota, Apicomplexa, Conoidasida, Eucoccidiorida, Cryptosporidiidae. The record is from Rfam.